GUAGGGUGCGAGCGUUAAUCGGAAUUACUGGGCGUAAAGCGUGCGCAGGCGGUUCGUUGUGUCUGAUGUGAAAGCCCCGGGCUCAACUUGGGAAUGGCAUUGGAAACUGGCGAGCUAGAGUGUGGCAGAGGGGGGUGGAAUUCCGCGUGUAGCAGUGAAAUGCGUAGAGAUGCGGAGGAACACCGAUGGCGAAGGCAGCCCCCUGGGCUGACACUGACGCUCAGGCACGAAAGCGUGGGGAGCAAACAGGAUUAGACACCCUGGUAGUCCACGCCCUAAACGAUGUCAACUGGUUGUUGGGAGGGUUUCUUCUCAGUAACGUAGCUAACGCGUGAAGUUGACCGCCUGGGGAGUACGGUCGCAAGGUUG
Molecule: ribosomal RNA, 369 nt
Filed under: uncultured bacterium
Lineage: Bacteria
Description: bacterial SSU rRNA
Rfam family: Bacterial small subunit ribosomal RNA
Source: RNAcentral